UACGGGGGGGGCAAGCGUUGUUCGGAAUUACUGGGCGUAAAGGGCUCGUAGGUGGCCAACUAAGUCAGACGUGAAAUCCCUCAGCUUAACGGGGGAACUGCGUCUGAUACUGGAUGGCUUGAGUUUGGGAGAGGGAUGCGGAAUUCCAGGUGUAGCGGUGAAAUGCUUAGAUAUCUGGAGGAACACCGGUGGCGAAGGCGGCAUCCUGGACCAACACUGACGCUGAGUGAGCGAAAGCCAGGGGAGCAAACGGG
Molecule: ribosomal RNA, 254 nt
Filed under: uncultured bacterium
Lineage: Bacteria
Description: partial 16S ribosomal RNA
Rfam family: Bacterial small subunit ribosomal RNA
Source: RNAcentral